This 742-nucleotide ribosomal RNA is filed under the name Lactiplantibacillus plantarum. RNAcentral's name for it is "bacterial SSU rRNA". It matches the Rfam family "Bacterial small subunit ribosomal RNA", at positions 67 to 775 of the family's 1533-position model. The record is from RNAcentral. Lineage: Bacteria; Bacillati; Bacillota; Bacilli; Lactobacillales; Lactobacillaceae.
CGACUCUGGUAUUGAUUGGUGCUUGCAUCAUGAUUUACAUUUGAGUGAGUGGCGAACUGGUGAGUAACACGUGGGAAACCUGCCCAGAAGCGGGGGAUAACACCUGGAAACAGAUGCUAAUACCGCAUAACAACUUGGACCGCAUGGUCCGAGUUUGAAAGAUGGCUUCGGCUAUCACUUUUGGAUGGUCCCGCGGCGUAUUAGCUAGAUGGUGGGGUAACGGCUCACCAUGGCAAUGAUACGUAGCCGACCUGAGAGGGUAAUCGGCCACAUUGGGACUGAGACACGGCCCAAACUCCUACGGGAGGCAGCAGUAGGGAAUCUUCCACAAUGGACGAAAGUCUGAUGGAGCAACGCCGCGUGAGUGAAGAAGGGUUUCGGCUCGUAAAACUCUGUUGUUAAAGAAGAACAUAUCUGAGAGUAACUGUUCAGGUAUUGACGGUAUUUAACCAGAAAGCCACGGCUAACUACGUGCCAGCAGCCGCGGUAAUACGUAGGUGGCAAGCGUUGUCCGGAUUUAUUGGGCGUAAAGCGAGCGCAGGCGGUUUUUUAAGUCUGAUGUGAAAGCCUUCGGCUCAACCGAAGAAGUGCAUCGGAAACUGGGAAACUUGAGUGCAGAAGAGGACAGUGGAACUCCAUGUGUAGCGGUGAAAUGCGUAGAUAUAUGGAAGAACACCAGUGGCGAACGCGGCUGUCUGGUCUGUAACUGACGCUGAGGCUCGAAAGUAUGGGUAGCAAACAG